Molecule: transfer RNA, 72 nt
Filed under: Odocoileus virginianus texanus
Lineage: Eukaryota; Metazoa; Chordata; Mammalia; Artiodactyla; Cervidae
Also listed under: 2 other names
Rfam family: tRNA
About the family: Transfer RNA (tRNA) molecules are approximately 80 nucleotides in length. Their secondary structure includes four short double-helical elements and three loops (D, anti-codon, and T loops).
Source: Rfam by way of RNAcentral
UCCCUGGUGGCUCAGAUGGUAAAGCAUCUGCCUGCAAUGCUGGAGACCUGGGUUCAAUCCCUGGGUUGGGAA